This 1014-nucleotide ribosomal RNA is filed under the name uncultured organism. RNAcentral describes it as "bacterial SSU rRNA". It matches the Rfam family "Bacterial small subunit ribosomal RNA", at positions 125 to 1140 of the family's 1533-position model. The record is from RNAcentral.
CCUACCUCUGACUGGAGGAUAGCCCGAAGGAAAUUCGGAUUAAUACUCCAUAAUACUAUGGACAGGCAUCUGUUCAUGGUUAAAGCUCCGGCGGUCAGAGAUGGGCAUGCGUGACAUUAGCUUGUUGGUGAGGUAACAGCUCACCAAGGCUACGAUGUCUAGGGGGUCUGAGAGGAUGGUCCCCCACACUGGUACUGAGACACGGACCAGACUCCUACGGGAGGCAGCAGUGAGGAAUAUUGGUCAAUGGGCGAAAGCCUGAACCAGCCAUGCCGCGUGAAGGAUGACAGCCCUAUGGGUUGUAAACUUCUUUUGUACGGGAAGAAACGCCUCUACGUGUAGAGGUUUGACGGUACCGUACGAAUAAGCAUCGGCUAACUCCGUGCCAGCAGCCGCGGUAAUACGGAGGAUGCAAGCGUUAUCCGGAUUUAUUGGGUUUAAAGGGUGCGUAGGCGGGAGCUUAAGUCAGUGGUGAAAUCCUGCAGCUUAACUGUAGAACUGUCAUUGAUACUGGGCUUCUUGAAUGUAGUUGAGGUAGGCGGAAUGUGUAAUGUAGCGGUGAAAUGCUUAGAUAUUACACAGAACACCGAUUGCGAAGGCAGCUUACUAAACUACGAUUGACGCUGAGGUACGAAAGCGUGGGGAGCGAACAGGAUUAGAUACCCUGGUAGUCCACGCUGUAAACGAUGAUCACUCGUUGUUGGCAAUACACCGUCAGCGACUGAGCGAAAGCAUUAAGUGAUCCCACCUGGGGAGUACGACCGCAAGGUUGAAACUCAAAGGAAUUGACGGGGGCCCGCACAAGCGGAGGAACAUGUGGUUUAAUUCGAUGAUACGCGAGGAACCUUACCUGGGCUUAAAUGUAGAACGACGGACCGGGAAACUGGUCUUUCUUCGGACGGUCUGCAAGGUGCUGCAUGGCUGUCGUCAGCUCGUGCCGUGAGGUGUCAGGUUAAGUCCCAUAACGAGCGGCAACCUUCAUCAGUAGUUGCCAGCGGGUAAUGCCGGGGAUUC